Molecule: long non-coding RNA, 536 nt
Organism: Chiroxiphia lanceolata (lance-tailed manakin)
Lineage: Eukaryota; Metazoa; Chordata; Aves; Passeriformes; Pipridae
Exons: 2
Source: RefSeq, a predicted model, not a curated record
CCCCAGCAGCAAAAGCCUUCCGCCCCCGCCCCCUGGUAGUGCCGAGCUCGCCUCCCACGUCGUUGCCGCCGUACGCAGGCUCGCGGGUGCCUACUCCCGCUCCCUGGAGGUCGUUCCCGUCGUUCCUCUGCCGAAAGCCCUCCGUUCCCACCUCCCACCGCCGCGGAGCGGUUGUGCGGAUUUAUAUAAAGGCACUCCGACAGGAGAGACUCUCAAGGCAAUUCCUCGUUAGUAUAGUGAGUUUCUUUUUACGGGAACCUGAGAAGCCCUGGAGUCAGCAGUCCUUGAGGUGAAGGGACCCGAGCACCUGCUUCUUACCUACCUAAAAAAGGAACGAGGGAAAUGGAAACCAGCUACUUUGAGAUUUGAGAGUAAAAGGCAGGACAGACUGACCAUCUGUCUUGAUGCUGACCCGGUCAGCAGAAACAUGGUUGUAAGUUUGUAUGGCAGUGACAUUAGACAGGAAACUAUAUUUAAUUUGCUGGCUUCUUGGAUGAAGAAUUAACACCACAUAAUAAACAAGUGCUUGGAACAAA